CCUACGGGUGGCUGCAGUAGGGAAUUUUCGUCAAUGGGCGCAAGCCUGAACGAGCGAUGCCGCGUGAGUGAAGAAGGCCUUCGGGUCGUAAAGCUCUGUUGCGGGGGAAAAAAGGCAGCAUCAGGAAAUGGGUGCUGACUGAUGGUGCCCCGCCAGAAAGUCACGGCUAACUACGUGCCAGCAGCCGCGGUAAUACGUAGGUGGCGAGCGUUAUCCGGAAUGAUUGGGCGUAAAGGGUGCGCAGGCGGUCCUGCAAGUCUGGAGUGAAACGCAUGAGCUCAACUCAUGCAUGGCUUUGGAAACUGGAGGACUGGAGAGCAGGAGAGGGCGGUGGAACUCCAUGUGUAGCGGUAAAAUGCGUAGAUAUAUGGAAGAACACUCGUGGCGAAGGCGGGUUCCUGGACAUUAACUGACGCUGAGGCACGAAGGCCAGGGGAGCGAAAGGGAUUAGAUACCCCAGUAGUC
RNAcentral lists this ribosomal RNA (465 nucleotides) under uncultured bacterium. RNAcentral describes it as "partial 16S ribosomal RNA". It matches the Rfam family "Bacterial small subunit ribosomal RNA", at positions 338 to 795 of the family's 1533-position model. The record is from RNAcentral.